This is a long non-coding RNA of Pyrus x bretschneideri (Chinese white pear), 2448 nucleotides long. RefSeq lists it as uncharacterized. The transcript has 10 exons. Lineage: Eukaryota; Viridiplantae; Streptophyta; Magnoliopsida; Rosales; Rosaceae. The record is from RefSeq and is a predicted model, not a curated record.
UUGUUUAGGAUUCUCUACAGUAAAUAUGCAUUUUUGCCCUUCCACUCCACCUGUCGACCAUCGCAGCGUCUUCUGGCAUCUUCUCUUUCUUUUCACUAUUUUUCCUUCUGUUGCUUUUCACUUCUUUUCCUCUCCCCUUUUCUCUGUUGUUCUGUCUCCCAGAAACUCUUCGUUCUCCAUUUGCCGUUAUCAUCCAACUCCAAAUUAGCUGCUCUUCGUCAACUCCAUCUACUUUAAUUUUCCUGCAUAGCUUUCUCUCUGAAGCUCAAAAUUCUUGGCCAAACAGAACAGCGAACUUCCCGAUGGUUACCAGCUCCAGUUCAAGGUCGAGAAGCACUCAGACAAUGACUUCCCCGACGCCAAGAUUUUGAAACGUUGGUCUUCGAAUAUUGGGGUUUUUGUCUGCAAGCUUGCAAGGCUGCAAGCCCUUUGUGAUCAAAAGUUGCAAUUUAAUCCUACAUCGACAAAUUUCUCUGAUGGCCACUACUAGAGGUUGACAUUCUGAUUCGAUGGCUACAUUGGCAACAAAUUUAUUGGGAAAUGCAUCUUCAAAGGUAUGCCUUUGGAGCAAUUUAAAGGAGUUGGAACUUCAACGUUGCAUGGAGGAAAUUGUCAUAAGUUCGGUGGCCAGAGCUUGACGUUGGCAUGACAACAAAUUUACUCGCAAAUGCAUAUUCAAAAGUAUAGAUGGACUGGUCAAUACGAAGCGCAUCUGUGGGACAAUAGUUGCAACAAAGAAGGGUAGAGCAGGAAGGGAAGCAAGCUGGGGAAUUACAAUCAAAUGAUGGAUGUUCAGUUUACUUGGGAAAAGCAAUGGAUUCUCAAGAGGGGCCUGAAUGUACAGAAGAAUUACAAGCAAACGUCAUCAAUAUGGAAGAUGGCUAGCCAGGAUUGGAAAUGUUGCUGUAAAUAAGGAUCUCUUGGGACAUUCAAUGAGUGAUUUUUCAAACUUUAUUUGCUUUUUGUAUCUAAAAAAUUUCCUAAUAUUUUUAAUAUAAUCAGUGAAACCACGAUUUCAUGUACUAGCUAGCUACUAGGAUGCUUGGUUUUUAUAUGAUUCUGAUUAUUUGAUGUAUCUGAAUAAAGUUUUGUUCAAAGUAGGAAAGUCAAUUUAAACUCAACCUUAUUUACAAGCUUGAGGAGAGAUUUUAGUCUUAUAAUGAUUAAUAAUAAGAUACAAUUAGGGUAAUACAUGUACUGCACAUAUUGCUAACUAUGCUAGACCAAAAGUAUCAUCAUUACUGCUUAAACAUACCAAUCAGUUUACAUUCUGUGAAUGCAUAUGACGACUGAGGGGUUUAACCCUUAAUUGCAAUCUCAUCCUGACCGAUGUGUAAUUUUGUGUUUACACCAUAUUAAUCAAUAUUUUUUUCAUAUGUUUAAUCAAACUCUUAUUUAAUGUACAUUUCGCAUACACAAACGGGCAAAAACUUCUUGACAUCCUAUAAAAUUGCCAGAAAAAGGUCAUUUCCAACUCAUGCAAAACCAGACUUAUUUCCCGCAAAAAAACACUAGGGUACCUCCUUUAAACUACUUUUCCCAUUCUUCUUCGGUCAGAAGAUGUCUUUUUGCCAGUUCUGAACAAAGUGAUGUAGAAGAUAUCUCAGAAGAAAAUGCGCAGGACUUUGACCGAGUUCCUAUCAAGCUAUUGAAAAAAAGUCAUCUCCAAUUGCUGCAAAAAACAGAUUCCGAUUCUUCCAAAAAAGAUUAGGUAACUACUCUUUAUACUUGCUUUUUGUACAAGUUUUAAUUUAUCUGUACAUAAAUUCAACAAAUCUAUUCUCAUUUUCCAAUUUUUUAAGAAGCUGUCUAUCAAACUGACUACAGUCGAAAUUUAAGAUUCUUAGCACAUGCUUUGUUUUGAAGCUGUCUAUCAAACUCACUACUCUUUAUAGUUGCCAAAUGUUGUUAUCUCACUGUCUUUACACAGUUUAUUUAAUCAGUUUUUUAGUAUAAGCAGUGCUGUCCUUGAUUAAAUAAUAAUGUCAAACAAAAUUAAGAGAAAAAUAUAACCGCCCAAUAAGAAUGACUUACCGAAUUACAUCACAAUAACAAAAGGUAAAGAAUAAAUAAAAUGGCAAGUAAAUGGUUUAUAUCAACUGAUUGAGCACCUACUUCAUAUGGGAAGAAGAUGUCACAAAGGCAAAUCAGGGAACAACAAUUACUUCAUAUGGGAAUAAGAGGUUAGUUUAAUUGUAAUUAUUUUUUUAUUUGGUCAAAUUCGAAGUUGGUUGGCUUGCAUCUAAUUUGGUCGUUUGCUUGCACAAAGUCACUGGUUUUAUUAAUGCUGGUGAUCAUCCAAGUUAAUGUGAAAACGAUAUCAUUAUUUUGUUAUGGUGAGAACUGAUUUAAAUUAAGAAAUUGAGUUACUUUUUUAUACCUCUUUUGUGAUCAUUUACUGAGAAUUUGUUAAUUGUUUUAAUAUAUAUGAGAUAGGAUUUCUACUUU